AUUCGGACAAUUGGCAUUUGCACUUGGUCGAACGGCCACUGGUGCAAAGCUACCAUCCGCUGGAUUAGGACUGAACGCCUCUUAAGUCCUCAUCCACGCUAGAGGCAACGACCCUCAUACGGCCGGAGGGUGGAGGUGAAGCGAGGUUAGUCCUCGGACUUCCGCAGCCGCAACCGGGCCGGGCGCCUCCGGGGGCCUCGUGAGCGAGGGCCUCCGGUCGCCCCUGACCCCUCGACCCAAACAGACUCUUCUCCGGCUACGAAUCACUUGCAGACGACUUGAUACGGACGGGGUGUUGUAAGCGGUAGAGUGGCCUUGCUGUUACGAUCCGCUGAGAGUAAGCCCGCGUCCUGCGAUUCUA
This 361-nucleotide non-coding RNA is filed under the name Amphimedon queenslandica. RNAcentral's name for it is "Eukaryotic large subunit ribosomal RNA". It matches the Rfam family "Eukaryotic large subunit ribosomal RNA", at positions 3050 to 3401 of the family's 3401-position model. The record is from Rfam by way of RNAcentral. Lineage: Eukaryota; Metazoa; Porifera; Demospongiae; Haplosclerida; Niphatidae.